This 371-nucleotide ribosomal RNA is filed under the name uncultured organism. Its description in RNAcentral is "bacterial SSU rRNA". It matches the Rfam family "Bacterial small subunit ribosomal RNA", at positions 526 to 896 of the family's 1533-position model. The record is from RNAcentral.
CGUAGGGUGCGAGCGUUAAUCGGAAUUACUGGGCGUAAAGCGUGCGCAGGCGGUUCGCUGUGUCCUGUGUGAAAGCCCCGGGCUCAACCUGGGAAUGGCAUGGGAAACUGGCGGGCUGGAGUGUGGCAGAGGGGGGUGGAAUUCCGCGUGUAGCAGUGAAAUGCGUAGAGAUGCGGAGGAACACCGAUGGCGAAGGCAGCCCCCUGGGCCAACACUGACGCUCAGGCACGAAAGCGUGGGGAGCAAACAGGAUUAGAUACCCUGGUAGUCCACGCCCUAAACGAUGUCGACUAGGUGUUGGGGGAAGCGAUUCCUUGGUACCGUAGCUAACGCGUGAAGUCGACCGCCUGGGGAGUACGGCCGCAAGGUUA